RNAcentral lists this ribosomal RNA (671 nucleotides) under Hysterangium sp. PDD 95779. Its description in RNAcentral is "eukaryotic LSU rRNA". The stretch from base 268 to 423 matches the Rfam family "5.8S ribosomal RNA". The record is from RNAcentral. Lineage: Eukaryota; Fungi; Basidiomycota; Agaricomycetes; Hysterangiales; Hysterangiaceae.
CAUUUAGAGGAAGUAAAAGUCGUAACAAGGUUUCCGUAGGUGAACCUGCGGAAGGAUCAUUACAGAAACGCGGGGUUCUUAGAAGAAUAGAUGCCUGGCUUCGGCAGUGUGGCUCACCUCGAACGAUUUCUCGUCUACCYACACCCGUGCACCCAGUGAACGCCGUCGAGGGCGUGUGUGAGCGCCUUCGAGGGGGGUUUACUUUUAUUUACAUACCGACGCCUGUACGAAUGCAUGACGAGCUCUUCGGAGCGCAAACUCGAAUACAACUUUCAACAACGGAUCUCUUGGCUUUCGCAUCGAUGAAGAACGCCGCGAAAGUGCGAAACGUAAUGUGAAUUGCAGAAUUCAGUGAAUCAUCGAAUCUUUGAACGCAUCUUGCGCUCCUCGGUCAUUCCGAGGAGCAUGCCUGUUUGAGUGUCGUGUAAUCUCUCAUCUCCCCCUGGCCUUGUCACGAGGUCGGUGGGGAAUGGACUUGGGCGUUGCCGUCUCAAGUGAGACGGCUCGUCUCGAAAUGCAUUAGCCGUUUCACCUCGGUCCCGUAGACGACGGUGUGAUAAGAAACGUCGCCCUCGUCCGUGGACCACCGGUGGUGGCUUACAGUCGUCCCCCCGUGACACGUCAUCUGACCUCAAAUCAGGUAGGACUACCCGCCGAACUUAAGCAUAUCA